AGUGAACGCUGGCGGUAGGCCUAACACAUGCAAGUCGAACGGCAGCACAGUAAGAGCUUGCUCUUACGGGUGGCGAGUGGCGGACGGGUGAGGAAUACAUCGGAAUCUACUUUUUCGUGGGGGAUAACGUAGGGAAACUUACGCCAAUACCGCAUACGACCUACGGGUGAAAGCAGGGGAUCUUCGGACCUUGCGCGAUUGAAUGAGCCGAUGUCGGAUUAGCUAGUUGGCGGGGUAAAGGCCCACCAAGGCGACGAUCCGUAGCUGGUCUGAGAGGAUGAUCAGCCACACUGGAACUGAGACACGGUCCAGACUCCUACGGGAGGCAGCAGUGGGGAAUAUUGGACAAUGGGCGCAAGCCCGAUCCAGCCAUACCGCGUGGGUGAAGAAGGCCUUCGGGUUGUAAAGCCCUUUUGUUGGGAAAGAAAAGCAGCAGGUUAAUACCCCGCUGUUCUGACGGUACCCAAAGAAUAAGCACCGGCUAACUUCGUG
RNAcentral lists this ribosomal RNA (492 nucleotides) under uncultured bacterium. RNAcentral's name for it is "partial 16S ribosomal RNA". It matches the Rfam family "Bacterial small subunit ribosomal RNA", at positions 29 to 507 of the family's 1533-position model. The record is from RNAcentral.